Non-coding RNA from Castor canadensis (American beaver), 860 nucleotides. The record is from RefSeq and is a predicted model, not a curated record. Lineage: Eukaryota; Metazoa; Chordata; Mammalia; Rodentia; Castoridae.
UCUCGGGAGGCAGGGACAAGUUUUAUUGACAUUUGUAUCACCAGCACUUAGUAUAGCACCUUCUAAAAAGUUGCUGUACUAAGAUCUUGUCGCAGAUCGUGCUCAUGCAGACCAUCUAUUAUGGCUCUCUGGGCCUUUGGCUGGCACUGGUGGACGCGCUAGUGCGAAGCAGCCCCUCGCUGGACCAGAUGUUCGACGCCGAGAUCCUGGGCUUUUCCACCCCUCCAAGCCAGCUCUCCAUGAUGUCCUUCAUCCUCAACGCUCUCACCUGUGCCCUGGGCUUGCUGUACUUCAUCCGGCGAGGGAAGCAGUGCCUGGAUUUCACUGUCACUGUCCAUUUCUUUCACCUCCUGGGCUGCUGGUUCUACAGCUCCCGUUUCCCUUCGGCGCUGACCUGGUGGCUGGUCCAAGCCGUGUGCAUUGCACUCAUGGCUGUCAUCGGGGAGUACCUGUGUAUGCAGACGGAACUCAAGGAGAUUCCCCUCAACUCAGCCCCUAAAUCUAAUGUCUAGAAUCGGGCCUUUUGGACUCUCUACUGGCACUUGGGGCUCCCAACACCUUGGGCUGCUCAGACCCUCCACAUGAGAUCUAGCCCAGGUCUGAGAGGAACCCUGGAAAUGUGAAGUCUCUGUUGAUGGAGAGCUAGCGAGGCCCCGCCAAGAAGGCAAGUAGCAGGAUUACAGCUGCAAGAAUAGCCUCUAUCUGCCGAAGCCUUGGUGUCUGGGAAGUCAGAAAGGGGGACCUCUUUGAGGGUAAUAACAGAUUUGGAACCAUGUUACCCUUGAGCCAUCAUAUCUAUCACCAGCGCGUUUAAAAAAAAAAAUCAAGGAUAUCUGAUUGGAGCAAACUACUCUUAUAGU